GUGCACAGUGAACACCCAAGUGUGCUUUAUAGUUCCCUUGGCUUUGACUCUGUGCUAGAGCAAUGUCUGUUCUUUUCCUCUGCAUUGAAAGUUGUAUUCAGAGAGUCAGCCCAUUA
Small nucleolar RNA from Mesoplodon densirostris (Blainville's beaked whale), 116 nucleotides. RefSeq annotates it as small nucleolar RNA SNORA22. The transcript has a single exon. The record is from RefSeq and is a predicted model, not a curated record. NCBI's taxonomy places the organism in Eukaryota, Metazoa, Chordata, Mammalia, Artiodactyla, Ziphiidae.